Molecule: long non-coding RNA, 5298 nt
Filed under: Sus scrofa (pig)
Lineage: Eukaryota; Metazoa; Chordata; Mammalia; Artiodactyla; Suidae
Description: lncRNA (ENSSSCG00000053550.1)
Source: RNAcentral
GCUUUCAUUCAUCUCAGGCUCUAACCCAGCACCCAAUGCCUAUCAUUGCCUUUGCAUCACAGAUCUUCAUUUUACUUUGUUUUACUCCAUAAUGUCCCUUACUAAGGAGGCUUCUUAUCUCCUCUAAAUCUACCAACAAUCCUUUAUCUUAUACAGUGAUCUGUCUAAGUGUACCUGGUACCUUCUGCUAACACAAUAUUCUUGCUCAUCUUGUAGGUGAGGUUCAAAAACAUCACCAUCCAUUUUCUAAGAACUCAAACAAGGCAAGCGUUUACGUGGGUACAAUGGGGUAAAUAAGUGAAUAAAAUAUAAUUGGUAAGAGGUGGACAGGAAGAAUUGCCUUAGUUAUAGAGGUAUUGAGUUUAUCAUUCAUAAUCUGCAGAAGGUUUAGCCAAUAAACAGGCUCUAUUACUUAAUGACUGGGUAGUUCUUGAAAUAGGAGCAAACAUGUUAGAAGCCCAAUCCCCACCAGCAGCUGUGAUCUCAAAUCGUCAGCACAGACAUAAACCUGGUACCCAUCCUGUUUCCUAAGGAUGCUGAGUGUCCUUGUGCCUUAAAAAAGAGGAUUUCUUAUUACUUCUACUGUAACACAGUGGUUGUAACUUCUGGAUGUCUUUUUCCAUACUUGAUUAUUCCAGGGGUUCCCUGACAGCCUGGUGAACCCUGGGGAUCCUGGGUCUGAUGGUCCCAAUUAAUCCAGGUCAGCAGAUCUGCCUUUCAGUCUAGCUGGGUCCAAAAAAACCCUAACAUAUCCCUGAUUAUAUUAAGAGAGUCCAUAAAUACGACAACCCCAUACAUCCUGAUUUCUGGUACUGUGACUCAUUACAUGGACCCAACUGAAAUAUCAGCCCUCUAUGCAUCCUAGUCAGCAACUGGAAGGAAUGGAGCUCUCUACCCACUCCCUAUCUCUCUUACACACUAGACUCCUUGCUCCUAUAGUAUCUCUCUGGCUAUCAUUUGAAAAUAGUUCAACUCUGUUAUUACCUUAUUCUACUAAAACAUCAUCCAUAAUAUUACAGUCCAGUGCUUCUCAACAGUGCUUCAUUUGGAAGUUAAUAUGAGUAACUAUUAGUUUUAGCAUGGAAUUAUUAAUAGACCAUCAGAAGGUCUUUGUUCCCAAAAAGUAUUACUCAUUGUUUCCCAUCAUAUCCUUUAUCUAAGCACUGUGUCGAUAUCUCUGUGCAGUAAUAAUUUCAUUUUUGAACUUUCAAAUAAGGCUUUAAAUGACUUAAGCAUCUGCUUAGUUGAGGAGGCAUAACCUUUCCUGAGUGUUGCUGCCAGCGCAUACUAACUGGGCUCUCUCAGCAUUUCCUGACUUCUCAUGGCAUAGUUUAAUAAAUUAAAGCUAAUGGAAGCAAUUUACAACUUAAGUAGUAGACAGAAAAUAUAAUAAAUUAGUUUAAAUCAUUUUCUAUAGCUGAAUAUUCUCUCAGAUAAUAAUAAUCCUGGCAUCUCGGCAUCAGUAGUUUGUAUAGAAUGAAAAUAAAUCGAAGGGCUUAGUAACAGAAAGAAAUGUUGUAAUAGAAACAGGAUUUUCAAGCCUUUGUAAUUUUUGAGAAUUUAUCAAUAAGGCAGAGUAGUAGGAGAUGGUGAGAGGAAACACCCCCGCUCUAUCCAGGACACAAUGAGCCCUGGGGUCGGGGACGUGCUGACUGAGAGAGUGGUUGGGGUUUGAUCAUACGCUUUGCACCGAGGCAUCUGAAAAGACUCGGUUAGGAUGACGAAGCCUGGGGGUUGGAUGCAGAAACGGGCAAUUCAAGUGCAUAGCAUGAUAGAAAGACAUAAACAAUGGCAAGGUGCAGAAUCUGAAGUUCAGGAAACCUGGGUUCAAAUCCUAACUCUGCAUUUUAUGAGGUAACUCGUGUAACCUCAGGCAAAUCACUCGCCCUUCUUCAGACUCACUGUCUUCUCUCUCAUGGUCAUUAAUAAGAAUUAUAAAAAAGAACCACAGUUACCUGCUAGCUCUUUGGAAGUCUCAGGAAAUGUGAUGCACUACAGUCUGAUUUAGUCCUAGAAGAGAAGACCAGUAAUCAACAUAUUUGCUCGUAAAUAACAGGACUGAGGCUUCUGGACCCAAGGGGAAAUGGAAGGGAGGAGACUGAGAAAAGGAGAGGGUCCAUUGAAACUCAGACUGGUGUUAAGAAUGGAACGAAAACAAAUGGCUCUGGGCCACCUUGGGGCCUUCAUAGUUGGGGCAGAAUCCAACUGGGAUGAACUUAAUCACCCCGCCAAGGCAGGGGUGCAUGAGAGCUGGGGUCCUAGCUUUGAGGCUUGGCAGUGAUGAGCCUCUGAGCUUUGCAGUAAGGAUCAUUGUAGAUACAGUCCCCAUAGCAGCCAAGGAUUUGGUGCUGCUGCUGUGUCCCUGCUGCACUUAACAAAGGCAGCAAUUGAAUUCUAAGAGAUUUUUCUAUUAUUCUCUCGAGGUUGUUUCAGAACAUCCUGCCUGGAGAUUAGAUAGGUACUCAAACUAAAGGCUGUUUGUCAGCAGGAAGAGGAGAUGAUCAUUCUUGACUUCCUUCUAGAUUUAUGAAUAAACCCAUCCACUGUUUCUCCACCAAGUUCUGAGAGAAUGGUCUUCAUUACUUGGGGAUCAAUUGUUAGGAUGUACUGGCAGGGGUUUCUUGUCUCUGCAGGAACACGGAAGUGCCAUCUCCAGAAUCGCUGAGCUGGAGCCACAGAAUCUGUCUCACUAUGGCAACAUCCCUAAAUGGAAGCUGAUAAGCCGAGAAGCCAAGACUGGGUCUAGAACUUGAUUUUUUUUCACUUUGAGGUUUAUAGAACCAGGUGUGAGUGCCGUCCCUGAGCUCAGCUGCUCUAUGAUUCUACUUCCCUGUUCCUUAGUCUCCUUCUAUUGGCAGGGGUCAAGAAUGCUAUUUUCCUUCAUUAUCCUGCAACUUCAGGUUUAGCUAUGAGAGGGUGGUGGAAGACAGCCAGUGUGUUUCCAUAUAUCCACAGGAACUUGAACAUGAUUAUAAAAGUCACUCUUUCUGCUUCUUUUCUAUGUAUUUUAGGUAGGCGAUAGCAUUAAUUUGGCAAGUCUUUAAACAUAUAUGCUGGUCCUUAUGUUCAAUUCUCUACCUCAAGAACAAUCACGAGGUACAAUUUUUAAAUCUUUUUUUUUUGGGGGGGGGAGCACAUCCAUAGCAUAUGAAAUUUCGCAGGCCAGAGAUCAAAUCUGAGCCACGGCUGCAACCUGUGUAUGCCACAGUUGCAGCAAUACCAGAUCCUUGACCUGCUGUGCCACAGCAGGAACUCCUGAUUUUUAAAUCUUAAAUGUUUAUUAAAAAUCUCAUAAAAGUCUGCAAGCAACUUGGAAGAAAACUGUAAGACUUUUUGAAAGUCACUGUUUGUGUUUGGGUGCUCCAAGAGGCAGGCACUAAGAUGUAAUUAGCAAUUGCUUAGGGGGAAUAUCUGAAGGGGAAAGAGAGUCGGAGAGCCUUAAACUGGGAUGCAAGUUUGAUACUGUGGAAGAAAUGAGGGAAGGAAGAAUGACUGGGUAAGAUAGGUAAAGUUCCAGAGCAGUUCUAAGAAAGUUUCUGCCAAGUCAAUGGGGAGAACCUAAGUCAAAGCUACCUGUCAGAAAAGACAUGAAUUAAUCAGGACUGUGUGUUCAAUCAUCAGCUGGGAGCAACCGUGAGUAAGUGUAAUGUCAUCUGCCUGACCUUAGUGAUGCAUCCAGGCAGACAGCAACCAGGGCCUUCAUACAUCAACUUUGUUCUCAACAGUAAGAGAUCAGAGAAGUGCAUUUCCGCGGUCACUAGGUCACUACGCUAUUAAGAAAGCUAUAAACAAGGAGCAAGAGAUUAUCUCUUCAUGAACAGAAAGUUUGGAUUUCAUUAAAAAAAAAAAAUCCCAGCUAUUCCCCAACUGACCUAGACUCAACACAAUUCUGAUUAAGUUGGCAACAGGAUUUUAGAAUUUGUUUGUUUCUUUUUGUUCAUUUGUUUUUUCAGUAGAACUUGACAUGUGAAUCUAAAAUUACGUACAAGAGAAAAAACAAAGCAAAACAAAACAAAAAGAUACCCUUGAAGGGAAAGAACUGAAUGGGUAAAAUGGGUAAAAUACCAUCAUACUAUACUAAAAAAAAGAUGGUAUUGGAUCUGGAAUAAACAAAUUGAACAAUAGAAAAGAAUUUAGAGCCUGGAGUAAACCAAUGUGUAUAUGGAAGUUUGAUAUAUGAUAGGAAGUUGGAAAAGAUUUUCUCUAUUAUACUGUGAAAACUGGUCAUCCAUGUAUAGAAAAGAAAAAAAAAAUGAGAUUCAUUCCUGACUUACACCAAGUACAAAAAUUAAUUUUUCGUCAACUAAGAAUCUAAAUGUUUAAAAGCAACCUGUAAAACAAUGGUGAAAAAUGACACAGGAAGAUAUCUUUAUGACUUCCUAGUAAGGAAAUAUAUCUUGAGUGGGACAAAAAAUAUAAGUUAUAAUGAAAAGACUGAUGAAUCUUACUACAUUAAAAAUGUCUAUAGGUAUCUAGAUAUAUAAAACAGAAAGAAAAGACAAGCCAAAAAAUUAAAGUAUUUGCAGUGCAUAUAAUCAGAAAAAAAAGUUUUCAUAAAACUCUAGAGCAUCUAAAUUCAAUAUAGAAAAAUACAGACUCAAUAUAAAAGUGGACAAGAGAUAUGAACAGCAACUGACAAAGCAAACCCAGUAGUAACUAAGAAGAACAAACUAAGCCAUGUUAAGAUAUCAUUAACUUUUAAAAAAUUUUUAAAGUCUUAACAGUUGCAAUGACUGGUGAGAAUUUGAAUAAAGAGUUCUCAUAAGGAUCCAUGGAAAUUUAAGUUUUAACAAUCUAUUUGUAGAGCAAAUUUUCAUUGUCUUAGUAAAUUUUAAAAUGCACAUUCCUUAUAAUUAUUGAUUAUACUUGAUUUUUUUAACAUUAUAAAAGGGUAUAAUAGCAUUGUUCAUAGUAGCAUUGAAAACAAUUGAUGGAGAAAGUAAAUUUUUUAAAAAUUGUGGUGAGAAUUUAAAUACAAUUCCAUGGUGCUGGGUUAAGCGAUCAUUUCCUGCCUCAGAGUUAAAUAAAACUGAGCUAUAUUAACAAUGGUCCCGGAGUUCCCGUCGUGGUGCAGUGGUUAACGAAUCCGACUAGGAACCAUGAGGUUGCGGGUUCGAUCCCUGGCCUUGCUCAGUGGGUUAACGAUGUGGCGUUGCCUUGAGCUGUGGUGUAGGUCGCAGACAUGGCUCGGAUCCCGCGUUGCUGUGGCUCUGGUGUAGGCCAGUGGCUACAGCUCUGAUUAGACCCUAGCCUGGGAACCUCCAUAUGCCGCAGAAGCGGCCCUAAAAAAGACAAAAA